AUUCAAAGAGUCUAUAAAGCUAUUCCAGAAAUCCUGGAGAUUGAGAGCACAUGGGUGGGGAAGCUCCUUCAUUUAGAUAAAAAGUUUUGAUCGAUCAGACUUGCAAGUCUUCUACUAAAAUGUUAAACAAGGUGAUUCAAAGAAUGAACCUGUGGGGGAUCCUGAAAGAAGGAAUUUUUGACCGAGAGAAGGACAAGAUUGUGCCCCAGCCUGUUGUUUCCUACCUACAAACCUGUCCCCAAACCUGAUAGCAUGGGACCCACUUUGAGCACAGGAGGAGGCAGCCCGGAGUCAGUCAGGCUCCUUUGGAGAGGCAGCAGAGUGGCUUCCUCAGAGCAAGUGGAAAACAAAGCAUCAAGCCACCUCGGGAGAGAGCGUGCAGGCCGGCGUUCAGAAGGACGUUCACCCAGGAACGCACGCCCUGGCACACCCGGGCCGAGGAGGUGGCUCGUGGAGCACGGCCUCAGCCUGGACACGCCCGGCAAGCUUUCGAGUGAACACUGCCACCUGAUCUGUUAAAAAGUUUCAAUUUGACUUCCAGAAUUUUCAGUGUGUGAUUGGCCAGUGGGAUGCUAGCGUCGUAGCAUUACAAGGCGAGUCGGCACUCGUCGAGUCCGGCUCCCUGGCGAGGGUAUUUCCAGGUCGGGCUGUCCGCCUUCACUGUAGAGAGAUCUAGAAAGAUGACACCAGGAGCUCUGUCCAUCUGCAGAGUUGAAGUCUUUCUUGAAUAGGUCACUCCCAGAGUCCGUUCAUGUCAUUAGAAUAAGGUGACCUGUGGCAGGGAAGGUG
This 789-nucleotide long non-coding RNA is filed under the name Vulpes vulpes (red fox). RNAcentral describes it as "lncRNA (ENSVVUG00000001477.1)". Lineage: Eukaryota; Metazoa; Chordata; Mammalia; Carnivora; Canidae. The record is from RNAcentral.